RNAcentral lists this ribosomal RNA (468 nucleotides) under uncultured bacterium. Its description in RNAcentral is "partial 16S ribosomal RNA". It matches the Rfam family "Bacterial small subunit ribosomal RNA", at positions 28 to 507 of the family's 1533-position model. The record is from RNAcentral.
GACGAACGCUGGCGGCGUGCUUAACACAUGCAAGUCGAACGGAAAGGCCCUGCUUUUGUGGGGUGCUCGAGUGGCGAACGGGUGAGUAACACGUGAGUAACCUGCCCUUGACUUUGGGAUAACUUCAGGAAACUGGGGCUCAUACCGGAUAGGAGCUCCUGCUGCAUGGUGGGGGUUGGAAAGUUUCGGCGGUUGGGGAUGGACUCGCGGCUUAUCAGCUUGUUGGGGGGGUAGUGGCUUACCAAGGCUUUGACGGGUAGCCGGCAUGAGAGGGUGACCGGCGACAUUGGGACUGCGAUACGGCCCAGACUCCUACGGGAGGCAGCAGGCGGGAAUAUUGCACAAUGGGCGGAAGCCUGAUGCAGCAAUGCUGCGUGCGGGAUGACGGCCUUCGGGUUGUAAACCGCUUUCGCCUGUGACGAAGCGUGAGUGACGGUAAUGGGUAAAGAAGCACCGGCUAACUACGUG